Molecule: ribosomal RNA, 460 nt
Filed under: uncultured bacterium
Lineage: Bacteria
Description: partial 16S ribosomal RNA
Rfam family: Bacterial small subunit ribosomal RNA
Source: RNAcentral
CCUACGGGAGGCAGCAGUGAGGAAUAUUGGUCAAUGGGCGCUAGCCUGAACCAGCCAAGUAGCGUGAAGGAUGACUGCCCUAUGGGUUGUAAACUUCUUUUAUAUGGGAAUAAAGUGCAGCAUGUAUACUGCUUUGCAUGUACCUUAUGAAUAAGGAUCGGCUAACUCCGUGCCAGCAGCCGCGGUAAUACGGAGGAUCCGAGCGUUAAUCGGAUUUACUGGGCGUAAAGCGCGCGUAGGUGGUAUGUCAAGUCAAGGGUGAAAUCCCCGCGCUCAACGGGGGAACUGCCUUUGAAACUGGCAAACUGGAGUAUGUGUGAGGAUAGUGGAAUUCCAGGUGUAGGAGUGAAAUCCGUAGAUAUCAGGAGGAACAUCAGUGGCGAAGGCGACUAACUGGCACAUAACUGACACUGAGGAGCGAAAGUGUGGGUAGCAAACAGGAUUAGAUACCCCUGUAGUC